UUUUCAUUUGCAGAUAGGGGGGAGAGAGAGCGUACGAGAAAAUAAAAGAGAGAAUUCUAGAAAGAAUGAGAAAAAGAAGGAUCCAGGGUUUGUUAUGGUUCAAUCAACCAGAUCUCUACAAACACACAUACGGAAUCAACCAGAUCUCGAAAACUACACAUACGGAACCCUAGAUUUUCUUGAUCUGGAACCCUAGCCUCCCUCCUCCACAUCUCCAAUACGCUAUCUUCCCUUACACGCACAAAGAUGAUGUUGGACGACAAAGAACUGGAGAUGAAGGAAGAACGACUAUGAAAUCGAAAACACUCAGGGUUAAACACCGAUUUGAAGAAACUUUAACAGAUUUGCAGGAACCUCCACAUCUCCAAUACGCUAUCUUCCCUUAAUUUAGAGAGAGAGAGAGAGAUAGCACGUACCUGGUCGACCUAAUCUCUGAUCUCCUGUGCUGAUGCUAAAAUAACGUUUAGGGUUCUGCAGAUCUUGAAUAUACCAGCUGCCUUGAAGUUUGAAUCCGCUUUUAGGGCUGGGGCGAGCCAGGGAGGUUACGGGACCGAGGAAGAUGACAAAAAUUUGUAGAUCUGAGUAUUCUAGCAACAUUCAGGAGUUUUACAUUCAGAUAUGUGUUUGUUUCUUCUUCAGAUCUGAGUUUUACAUUCAGAUCUGUUAGGUUUGUUUACUUAUUAUGAUUUUUAGUUUUCAAUUUGGAUUCAUUUGUUGAAAUAAUGGUUUAAAUAAGAUAAAUUGAUGUUACAACAUUGAUUUUCUGAAAUUUUGAUCGAACAAGAAGUAAUUUAUUAACUGUCGACCUUAAUUUGUUGGAUAUGGAGUUGUUCUUUAGUGUUUUUUUUCUUUUGGUUUGAUUUUGGAGUAAACCCUAGCUGUUAAGUGUGUUUUGUAGCAACUUUUAACCCUACCACACAUCGAUUAGCCUUUGCAACCAUCUUCCCUGUUCUUCGUCAUCACCGAAUGGCACCCAGCAACCUGAAGUUGCAGACCUAGGGUUUUGAAUACCCAAUUUCAGGCAAAAGAAGAUUUAUAGAAGAAGUUGAGAGCGUUGAUCUUUGUGUCAGUUGAGUACAGAGCAGGAGAUCGACAUUGUUUUGAGUACUCCGGCCGAAAAUAUUCCAAGGAGGAUCUGUGAUUCCAUGUUGAAGUUUUUGGAAAUUGGGAAGACCAUGCUGGGAUUUCAGAAUUCUUCAGAUUCCUGGUGAUUUCUUGUGCAUAUUCAAGAGUUUACCCCCUCAUAUAUCCAAGGAUUUCAACCUGGUGAAGCUUUUGUGGUCCGAAAUGUGGCUAACCUUGUUCCACCACUUCAGGAUGUAUGUGUUGAUUUGCCUAAUUUAUCAUUGGAAUGGACUCUUGAAAGGCUUGAGCCUGCUGGACUUUGUAAGAUGGCUUGUGUUUGCACUUAUUAAGAGACAUGUGUUUAAGUGAUUAUCUGUGGAAAGUCAUUACCUUUGUAUAUUAAUCUUGUUGAAUGAAUAUAAUAUGUUUAAUUUAUAAUUUGUCCAAACAUGUAUUAACAUACUAUAUGAGCAUUGGCAAGAGCUUGAAGUUGCCAUCGUAAUACCUUUAGACAAUUAACAUUGGAGUGGACAAAUGAGAUACAGAUACUUAGCUACUUGCAUCCAAUUUUAUUUGCAGUCCUCUACAAAGUUCUUCCUAUUUUUACAUCCUAAUGCUCCACUCUUUAUGGUAAGAUAAUUAUCUUUGCUCUUAGUGAGUUCUAUGUUGUCAAAAGCGAGCCAGGCGUGCGCCUAGGCGCAGAGGCGCAGCGAGGCGUGACUAAACCGCCUGGUGGAGUCAUAGGCGAAGAUCUGCGAUUUUUUUUCAAAAAUCGGCAUCCAUGCACGCGCUCGAAGCUAGACGCAGGUGACUACAGGCGUUCUUCAGGCGAGAUUUUGGCCAGAACGGCUGAUGAUGAAGUUGAUGAUGAAGUUGUUACAUUUUGGAAGUAUAUGAAUAUUGUCGAAGCAGAUGAUGAAGUUGAUGAUCCUGGUUUGUUAGAAGCUGCUGAUUGUUUAUCAACAAUCUUUGUAAACUUAUGUUUUAUACAAUUUUAUCCUUAUUUUUGGUUGGUCACAAAGAUUACAAAUGGCAAUUGCUGUAGAACAAAACGUAUCUUAUUUGGUUUUUGUUUUCCAAACAGAUUCAAGAGUUCAUGAUUUUAAACCAACACUUUCACUUUGUGCCGAUCAAUCAACAACGACCCCAUAUUAUUCCAGCUGAUUGUUAUAUGCUCUUUUAGUUUUUUUAGAAAGGAUGUAAAGGGACUUGGCGACACUUUGGCAGGGGCUUACCCAGGUCGCUUCGAUUUUCAUUUGAAAGAAAGACAAUCUUGACAAUCUGCCAUUGUAGCAGCUGCUUUUUGUUUAGCACUCAAGUAUGUGAUUGGUUCCAUCAUAGCUCCGAAGAAGACAAAGUUGCCAUUGGAGAAAUUUCCAGACGAUUGGACUAGAGAGCAAGUUGCUGAGAAAUUUCCGCAACGCCGCAGCCAGCGCAACCCCAGCGAACGCAGCCGCAUCGACGCAGUGAGCGCUGCCGCAGCGAGCACAACCCUAGCCAGC
This 2567-nucleotide long non-coding RNA is filed under the name Helianthus annuus (common sunflower). The record is from RNAcentral. Lineage: Eukaryota; Viridiplantae; Streptophyta; Magnoliopsida; Asterales; Asteraceae.